RNAcentral lists this ribosomal RNA (391 nucleotides) under uncultured bacterium. RNAcentral's name for it is "bacterial SSU rRNA". It matches the Rfam family "Bacterial small subunit ribosomal RNA", at positions 28 to 429 of the family's 1533-position model. The record is from RNAcentral.
GAUUAACGCUGGCGGAAUGUAUAAUACAUGCAAGUCGAGCGAGAAAUUUUGGUAGCUUGCUACCGAAAUGGACAGCGGCGAACGAGCGAGUAACACGUUAGAACCUGCCCCGAACUCAGGGAUAAGCACUGGAAACGGUGUCUAAUACCGGAUAGUCUCGAAAGAGUAAAGAUUUUUCGGUUCGGGAGGGGCUUGCGGCCUAUCAGCUUGUUGGUGAGGUAAAGGCUCACCAAGGCUACGACGGGUAACUGGUCUGAGAGGAUGACCAGUCGCGAUGGGACUGAGACACGGCCCAUACUCCUACGGGAGGCAGCAGUAGGGAAUCUUCCACAAUGGACGAAAGUCUGAUGGAGCAAUUCCGCGUGAUUGAUGAAGCGUUUAGGCGUGUAAA